Molecule: long non-coding RNA, 714 nt
Filed under: Daucus carota (carrot)
Lineage: Eukaryota; Viridiplantae; Streptophyta; Magnoliopsida; Apiales; Apiaceae
Description: long non-coding RNA (DCAR_LNC006644)
Source: RNAcentral
AUCAGGAAGUGUGCCAGUUACUGAGGACUUGUCACAAAGUCAUUCGCCGUCAAAGGCAGUUGUGGGAAACCAGGGUGCUUCGCCAAUUCAAGGAUCAAAUCCUUCGAGCCCUGUGUCUACCCACCCUGAGAUUCCAACUCAGGAUCCAACUAAGGACUCACUACUUUCGAGUAGUUGGCAACUUGUUUCUUAUGACUCAGAUUCAUCUGACGAGGAAACUGAGGACGAAGGCUCACGAACCUUCAUUGCACCUUCUGUGACCUCUCUAGAAGAGGCUAAGAAGAUUUCUUCUGCAGGUACAUCUAAGGAUGCUGGAAUGUCUUUGAGUGAGAGGGAAACACCAACAGAACUUGAUAUACAGAAACCCUCUGACCCACUGAGUGCUCUAGCUUUGAGUGAAACGAGAGAAACACCUACAGAACGCACUAGUGAGAACCCAACUGCCCAACCUACACCACUUCCAACUGUAUCUGUGACAGAAUUUGAAGCUCUGAAAUUCAAAGUUUAACAUUUAGAAGCUGAGAAUCUUGUUCUACGGGAGGAGUUGGUAGAGAUCAAAUCAACAAUGGAACAAAGGUUAGCUGCCCUGGAGGCUAAGUUGCUGGCAUCUCAACCUUCCAGAGAGGAUUACUCAACUGAGGGGGAGAGAGCAGCAGAAAAAGCAAAGGGAAAGAGGGUGAUAACAGGGGUGUCUGAAGAACUGAUUGAUUCUGC